This 403-nucleotide ribosomal RNA is filed under the name Verrucomicrobiota bacterium. Its description in RNAcentral is "Verrucomicrobia bacterium partial 16S ribosomal RNA". It matches the Rfam family "Bacterial small subunit ribosomal RNA", at positions 355 to 776 of the family's 1533-position model. The record is from RNAcentral. Lineage: Bacteria; Pseudomonadati; Verrucomicrobiota.
UGGGGAAUAUUGCACAAUGGGGGAAACCCUGAUGCAGCGACGCCGCGUGAGCGAAGAAGGCCUUCGGGUCGUAAAGCUCUUUUAUAUGGGAAGAUAAUGACGGUACCAUAAGAAAAAGCCCCGGCUAACUACGUGCCAGCAGCCGCGGUAAUACGUAGGGGGCAAGCGUUAUCCGGAUUCAUUGGGCGUAAAGCGCGCGUAGGCGGUUUGUUAGGUCAGGAGUUAAAUCUGGGGGCUCAACCCCUAUCCGCUCCUGAUACCGGCAGGCUUGAGUCUGGUAGGGGAAGGCGGAAUUCCAAGUGUAGCGGUGAAAUGCGCAGAUAUUUGGAAGAACACCGGUGGCGAAGGCGGCCUUCUGGGCCACGACUGACGCUGAGGCGCGAAAGCUAGGGGAGCGAACAGG